RNAcentral lists this long non-coding RNA (698 nucleotides) under Carica papaya (papaya). Its description in RNAcentral is "long non-coding RNA (CPAP_LNC010545)". The record is from RNAcentral. Lineage: Eukaryota; Viridiplantae; Streptophyta; Magnoliopsida; Brassicales; Caricaceae.
ACAAAUAUCCAGACUCCAAAUCAACGACCAUAACCUCGUCUUGACAGAUGGCACUCAACUCAUUUUAUUCAUGACUACCCUCAUUUACGUAAGCUGAUCUUAACACACACACACACACAUAUAUUAUACAUAUAUAUAUAUAGUGAUGAGGACAGAUGUUGAUGUGUAGCUGAAGUUCAAGGGCACUUGCGUCGGCCACCGUGAGUAGUCAAGCUAGCGUAGCAAGGACACUCCUCUUGGUGACCGGAAGUCCCUGGAGGCACACAGUUGCAACGCGCACAACAUGUCCCACAAGCUCUCUUGCACAACCGUUGCCUCGACGCUAACCGGCACCUGGCGGUACACGCGCUGCCACAAUCUGCAUCAACAUCAAACAAUAUUGUAUAUAUAAGCAUCCUCAUAUAUCUAUACUAAUUACAAUUAUUUAGCAGAAAAUUACCAAUUUUGGCUGGAGUAGUAGGAGGGCCUUGUGGAUAUGAGGUGGUCACCUGGAUCUCCAAACACGGUCAUAGCAGUACGUAUGAGCAUACAUACGCAUCCAACAUAUACACAUGCAUAUAUAAUGAUAUAAUUAAAGAAAUCUUAAGCGAUGACAAAAGCAGAAAGUUUACCUCGUCAUCAUCAGCUUCCGCUGUGUGGAGAAGAAGAAGAGAUAUGAGAAGACAAGCAACGAAAGCAGCAGCUGGUUUAUAAGAGGC